GGAGCAUGUGGCUUAAUUUGACUCAACGCGGGAAAUCUUACCGGGUCCGGACACACUGAGGAUUGACAGGCAAUAUCUCAUGGUUAUUAACCCGGUUAUUACAUUUUGUUUAAUCGGUUAUUAAGCAUCGAGUGUUAAAUAUGCUAGUCCUUUCAUGAUUAUGUGAUAGGUGGUGCAUGGCCGUUCUUAGUUCGUGGAGUGAUCUGUCUGCUUAAUUGCGUUUCACUAAGGGCCCAUAAAUUCAAGGUAUGUUAGCUAUCGUCGCUCUAUGGACCCCUUAUACUCGAUUUCGCUUUAAUUAGCGUUAUUUGUUUAAUAAGCGCGCGUCUUUAUUUAAUGAGUUUAAGACACUGCGCAUGCUGUUGGGCUCUGAAAGCAACGAACGUGACCGCAACGUCUUGUUGCCUUAAUAAAGUUGGCUUUAAAUACAAUUCCCCGAAUUCGUAUUUAAACCGCUUACAGAGGCUAUUUAAAACUAGACGGACCGCUGUUUCUUUUCUUAAACCAGAGGAAGGUUGCGGCA
This 523-nucleotide ribosomal RNA is filed under the name Neogloboquadrina pachyderma. RNAcentral describes it as "bacterial SSU rRNA". It matches the Rfam family "Eukaryotic small subunit ribosomal RNA", at positions 1178 to 1452 of the family's 1831-position model. The record is from RNAcentral. Lineage: Eukaryota; Foraminifera; Rotaliida; Globorotaliidae.